UAGCGGCGGACGGGUGAGUAACAUGUGGGCAACCUGCCUGUAAGACUGGGAUAACUUCGGGAAAUCGAAGCUAAUACCGGAUAGGAUCUUCUCCUUCAUGGGAGAUGAUUGAAAGAUGGUUUCGGCUAUCACUUACAGAUGGGCCCGCGGUGCAUUAGCUAGUUGGUGAGGUAACGGCUCACCAAGGCAACGAUGCAUAGCCGACCUGAGAGGGUGAUCGGCCACACUGGGACUGAGACACGGCCCAGACUCCUACGGGAGGCAGCAGUAGGGAAUCUUCCGCAAUGGACGAAAGUCUGACGGAGCAACGCCGCGUGAGUGAUGAAGGCUUUCGGGUCGUAAAACUCUGUUGUUAGGGAAGAACAAGUACGAGAGUAACUGCUCGUACCUUGACGGUACCUAACCAGAAAGCCACGGCUAACUACGUGCCAGCAGCCGCGGUAAUACGUAGGUGGCAAGCGUUAUCCGGAAUUAUUGGGCGUAAAGCGCGCGCAGGCGGUUUCUUAAGUCUGAUGUGAAAGCCCACGGAUCAACCGUGGAGGGUCAUUGGAAACUGGGGAACUUGAGUGCAGAAGAGAAAAGCGGAAUUCCACGUGUAGCGGUGAAAUGCGUAGAGAUGUGGAGGAACACCAGUGGCGAAGGCGGCUUUUUUGGUCUGUAACUGACGCUGAGGCGCGAAAGCGUGGGGAGCAAACAGGAUUUAGAUACCCUGGUAGUCCACGCCGUAAACGAUGAGUGCUAAGUGUUUAGAGGGUUUCCGCCCUUUUUAGUUGCUG
Molecule: ribosomal RNA, 776 nt
Filed under: Priestia aryabhattai
Lineage: Bacteria; Bacillati; Bacillota; Bacilli; Caryophanales; Bacillaceae
Description: bacterial SSU rRNA
Rfam family: Bacterial small subunit ribosomal RNA
Source: RNAcentral